RNAcentral lists this ribosomal RNA (685 nucleotides) under uncultured Pseudomonadota bacterium. Its description in RNAcentral is "bacterial SSU rRNA". It matches the Rfam family "Bacterial small subunit ribosomal RNA", at positions 49 to 722 of the family's 1533-position model. Lineage: Bacteria; Pseudomonadati; Pseudomonadota. The record is from RNAcentral.
UAACACAUGCAAGUCGAACGGUAACAGGAAGCAGCUUGCUGCUUCGCUGACGAGUGGCGGACGGGUGAGUAAUGUCUGGGAAGCUGCCUGAUGGAGGGGGAUAACUACUGGAAACGGUAGCUAAUACCGCAUAAUGUCGCAAGACCAAAGAGGGGGACCUUCGGGCCUCUUGCCAUCGGAUGUGCCCAGAUGGGAUUAGCUUGUUGGUGGGGUAACGGCUCACCAAGGCGACGAUCCCUAGCUGGUCUGAGAGGAUGACCAGCCACACUGGAACUGAGACACGGUCCAGACUCCUACGGGAGGCAGCAGUGGGGAAUAUUGCACAAUGGGCGCAAGCCUGAUGCAGCCAUGCCGCGUGUAUGAAGAAGGCCUUCGGGUUGUAAAGUACUUUCAGCGGGGAGGAAGGGAGUAAAGUUAAUACCUUUGCUCAUUGACGUUACCCGCAGAAGAAGCACCGGCUAACCCCGUGCCAGCAGCCGCGGUAAUACGGAGGGUGCAAGCGUUAAUCGGAAUUACUGGGCGUAAAGCGCACGCAGGCGGUUUGUUAAGUCAGAUGUGAAAUCCCCGGGCUCAACCUGGGAACUGCAUCUGAUACUGGCAAGCUUGAGUCUCGUAGAGGGGGGUAGAAUUCCAGGUGUAGCGGUGAAAUGCGUAGAGAUCUGGAGGAAUACCCGGUGGCGAAGGC